UGAGGAAUGUUGGUCAAUGGUCGCUAGACUGAACCAGCCAAGUAGCGUGCGGGAUGAAGGCCCUCCGGGUCGUAAACCGCUUUUAGACGGGGAUAAAAGGGCGUACGUGUACGCCGUAUUGCAUGUACCGUCAGAAAAACGGACCGGCUAAUUCCGUGCCAGCAGCCGCGGUAAUACGGAAGGUCCGGGCGUUAUCCGGAUUUAUUGGGUUUAAAGGGAGCGUAGGCGGACUUUCAAGUCAGUGGUAAAAUCGUGUGGCUCAACCAUACCUCGCCAUUGAAACUGGAAGUCUGGAGUGCACACAGGGGUGCCGGAAUUCAUGGUGUAGCGGUGAAAUGCUUAGAUAUCAUGAAGAACUCCGAUCGCGAAGGCAAGUGCCCGGGGUGCAACUGACGCUGAGGCUCGAAGGUGCGGGUAUCGAACAGGAUUAGAUACC
Molecule: ribosomal RNA, 436 nt
Filed under: uncultured bacterium
Lineage: Bacteria
Description: bacterial SSU rRNA
Rfam family: Bacterial small subunit ribosomal RNA
Source: RNAcentral